GUAAGUAACUUUCCGCAUAAAGCGAAUCUCUUGUUAAAUUACUUGCACGCGCUGUAGAGCAAACGAAUCGGUAACGUUAGUUGUUGCGUUUCGUUUAUAACCUCUGAACGUAUCGCCCUGAUAUUAACAUUAUAAAGUAUAAUAAUGAGGAUUCUCGCUGGUUGUCUCUGUUGAUCCUGCAGCAGAAUGAGUGGUGUCUUGGUUGUAAACUGGUCCGGCUGAAGCAGAGCUCUGGGACGUGUGGACAGACAUUGACCGUAAUGAUGGACAUCUGCUCAUGGACAGCAUAACCGCUGCUGGUCACAGUGCCGGAAGUUCCAGGGGGAGACCGUAAUGAUAUCCCCCUUCUUUGGGCGCGCCUUCACACACACUCCACCAUUCACUCAUAUCGCAGAGACCUGGCUGGGAUUGAACCAGCAACCUCUGAACCGUGAGGCAGCGCUCUUACCUGUGAGCCACAGGUCUCUUGUUGAACCACUGGAAGGAACUUAUAUUUGACUGUUUACCUGUGAUUUCCCAAUAAAGAAGUUAAAGUAAGCUGGGU
This is a long non-coding RNA of Cyprinus carpio carpio, 544 nucleotides long. NCBI's taxonomy places the organism in Eukaryota, Metazoa, Chordata, Actinopteri, Cypriniformes, Cyprinidae. The record is from Ensembl.